RNAcentral lists this ribosomal RNA (1397 nucleotides) under uncultured bacterium. Its description in RNAcentral is "bacterial SSU rRNA". It matches the Rfam family "Bacterial small subunit ribosomal RNA". The record is from RNAcentral.
UUAGAGUUUGAUCCUGGCUCAGGAUGAACGCUAGCGGCAGGCCUAACACAUGCAAGUCGAGGGGUAACAGGUGUAGCAAUACAUGCUGACGACCGGCGGACGGGUGAGUAACGCGUAUGCAAUCUGCCUCUGACUGAGGGAUAGCCCAGAGAAAUCUGAAUUAAUACCUCAUAACAUCAUGAUUGGACAUCCUUUUAUGAUUAAAGCUCCGGCGGUCAGAGAUGAGCAUGCGUGCCAUUAGUUAGUUGGCGGGGUAACAGCCCACCAAGACUGCGAUGGCUAGGGGGUCUGAGAGGAUGAUCCCCCACACUGGUACUGAGACACGGAUCAGACUCCUACGGGAGGCAGCAGUGAGGAAUAUUGGGCAAUAGGCGCAAGCCUGACCCAGCCAUGCCGCGUGCAGGAUGAAGGCCCUAUGGGUUGUAAACUGCUUUUAUACGGGACGAAUCCCUCGGACGUGUCCGGGGCUGACGGUACCGUAAGAAUAAGCAUCGGCUAACUCCGUGCCAGCAGCCGCGGUAAUACGGAGGAUGCAAGCGUUAUCCGGAUUCAUUGGGUUUAAAGGGUGCGUAGGCGGAACGAUAAGUCAGCGGUGAAAUCCUGCAGCUUAACUGUAGAAUUGCCAUUGAUACUGCCGUUCUUGAAUGCGGUUGAGGCAGGCGGAAUGUGUAUUGUAGCGGUGAAAUGCGUAGAUAUUACACAGAACACCUAUUGCGUAGGCAGCCUGCUAAGCCGUGAUUGACGCUGAGGCUCGAAAGCGUGGGGAGCAAACAGGAUUAGAUACCCUGGUAGUCCACGCUGUAAACGAUGAUCACUCGCUGUUGGCGAUAUACCGUUCAGCGGCUAAGCGAAAGCAUUAAGUGAUCCACCUGGGGAGUACGACGGCAACGUUGAAACUCAAAGGAAUUGACGGGGGCCCGCACAAGCGGAGGAACAUGUGGUUUAAUUCGAUGAUACGCGAGGAACCUUACCUGGGCUUAAAUGGGAGACGACGUCUCGGGAAACCGGGAUUCCCUUCGGGGCGGCUCUCAAGGUGCUGCAUGGUUGUCGUCAGCUCGUGCCGUGAGGUGUCGGGUUAAGUCCCAUAACGAGCGCAACCCCUAUCGUUAGUUGCCAGCGGGUAAUGCCGGGGACUCUAGCGAAACUGCCAGCGUAAGCUGUGAGGAAGGUGGGGAUGACGUCAAAUCAGCACGGCCCUUACGUCCAGGGCAACACACGUGUUACAAUGGCCGGUACAAAGGGCAGCUACUGGGCGACCAGAUGCUAAUCUCUAAAACCGGUCUUAGUUCGGAUUGAAGUCUGAAACUCGACUUCAUGAAGUUGGAUUCGCUAGUAAUCGCGCAUCAGCUAUGGCGCGGUGAAUCCGUUCCCGGGCCUUGCACUCACCGCCCGUCAAG